This 274-nucleotide ribosomal RNA is filed under the name uncultured bacterium. RNAcentral's name for it is "partial 16S ribosomal RNA". It matches the Rfam family "Bacterial small subunit ribosomal RNA", at positions 523 to 796 of the family's 1533-position model. The record is from RNAcentral.
CUACGGAGGGUGCAAGCGUUACUCGGAAUCACUGGGCGUAAAGCGCGCGCAGGCGGUCUUUUAAGUUGGAUGUGAAAGCCUACGGCUCAACCGUAGAACUGCAUCCAAAACUAUUAGACUAGAGUGUGGGAGAGGAAGAUGGAAUUAGUUGUGUAGGGGUAAAAUCCGUAGAGAUAACUAGGAAUACCAAAAGCGAAGGCAAUCUUCUGCAACACUACUGACGCUGAGGCGCGAAAGCGUGGGGAGCAAACAGGAUUAGAAACCCUAGUAGUCC